RNAcentral lists this ribosomal RNA (541 nucleotides) under Entoloma callidermum. Its description in RNAcentral is "partial small subunit ribosomal RNA". It matches the Rfam family "Bacterial small subunit ribosomal RNA", at positions 356 to 956 of the family's 1533-position model. Lineage: Eukaryota; Fungi; Basidiomycota; Agaricomycetes; Agaricales; Entolomataceae. The record is from RNAcentral.
CAAGAAUAUUAGUCAAUGCUCGCAAGAGUGAACUAGCUAACUGAAAUCACAGGACUCGCUCUGUUGAGAAAUGUGAUAACGUAAGGGAAAAAAAUGAUAUUACCUUACUAUUAGUGUUGUCCAAAACUGGUGCCAGAAGACUCGGUAAGGCCAGAGACGCAAACGUUAGUCGUCCUAAUCAGGCGUAAAGGGUAUGUAGGCUGCUUUAAAACCAAUUAAAGCUAGAAUCAAAUUGAGGAUAAACCAAAUAAUACUUAGUGUAGGGUUGAUAUCUAUAGAUACUAAGGGGAAUACUAAAGGUGAAAGCUUUUUAUCUAGUAAUGAUUGACGCUGAGAAACGAAGGUGAGAAUAGGAAAUAGGAUUAGAUACCCAGAUACCUCUCACUGUCAACGAUGAAUGGUGGUUGUUAGUUUUAAUAAAAACUGGUAACGAUGUUAACACGAUAACCAUUCCGCCUUGCGAGUACGGUUGCAAAACUGAAACCAAAAAAAUUAGUCGGUCUCGAAGCAAACGAAGUGAAGCAUGUUAUUUAAUUCGAUA